CAUUCACGGAGAGUUUGAUCCUGGCUCAGGACGAACGCUGGCGGCGUGCUUAACACAUGCAAGUCGAACGGUGAAGCCCUUCGGGGUGGAUCAGUGGCGAACGGGUGAGUAACACGUGGGCAAUCUGCCCUGCACUCUGGGACAAGCCUUGGAAACGAGGUCUAAUACCGGAUAUUACCCCUGGGGGCAUCCCUGGGGGUGGAAAGCUCCGGCGGUG
Molecule: ribosomal RNA, 217 nt
Filed under: Streptacidiphilus pinicola
Lineage: Bacteria; Bacillati; Actinomycetota; Actinomycetes; Kitasatosporales; Streptomycetaceae
Description: partial 16S ribosomal RNA
Rfam family: Bacterial small subunit ribosomal RNA
Source: RNAcentral